CCCUUAGAUGUUCUGGGCCGCACGCGCGCUACACUGAUGCAUUCAACGAGCCUAUCCUUGACCGACAGGUCCGGGUAAUCUUUGAAUCUGCAUCGUGACGGGGAUAGAUUAUUGCAAUUAUUAAUCUUCAACGAGGAAUUCCUAGUAAGUGCAAGUCAUCAGCUUGCACUGAUUACGUCCCUGCCCUUUGUACACACCGCCCGUCACUCCUACCGAUUGAGUGAUCCGGUGAAUAACUCAGACUGCAGCACUUGUGGGAAACCACUGGUGUCUGUGGGAAGUUUAGUGAACCUUAUCACUUAGAGGAAGGAGAAGUCAUAACA
RNAcentral lists this ribosomal RNA (323 nucleotides) under uncultured eukaryote. RNAcentral's name for it is "partial 18S ribosomal RNA". It matches the Rfam family "Eukaryotic small subunit ribosomal RNA", at positions 1470 to 1796 of the family's 1831-position model. The record is from RNAcentral.